This is a long non-coding RNA of Homo sapiens (human), 240 nucleotides long. RefSeq annotates it as MARCHF1 antisense RNA 1. The transcript has 3 exons. The record is from RefSeq and is a predicted model, not a curated record. NCBI's taxonomy places the organism in Eukaryota, Metazoa, Chordata, Mammalia, Primates, Hominidae.
GUGAUAUCUUCGACAACAACAAAAAUACCAUAUAUAUUAGAAGAUGUUGAAAAUAGUGUUCUACAGAUUGAACAUAAACGGUGGCCAAUCAUCAUCUAUACAAAUCCAUGACAGGAUGAAAUGAGUUCAUGUGGAUCUGGGUGGCUCAAAGGAUGGACGACAGCAGGUGCUAUGGAGUCCUUUGUACUCUCUGUGAUUUUCCUGUGUCUAAGGACAGGAGAUGGCAUAAGCAGAUAAAAG